RNAcentral lists this ribosomal RNA (303 nucleotides) under uncultured bacterium. RNAcentral's name for it is "partial 16S ribosomal RNA". It matches the Rfam family "Bacterial small subunit ribosomal RNA", at positions 507 to 807 of the family's 1533-position model. The record is from RNAcentral.
AGCAGUCGCCACGGUAAUACGGAGGGUGCAAGCGUUAAUCGGAAUUACUGGGCGUAAAGCGCACGCAGGCGGUCUGUCAAGUCAGAUGUGAAAUCCCCGGGCUUAACCUGGGAACUGCAUUUGAAACUGGCAGGCUAGAGUCUUGUAGAGGGGGGUAGAAUUCCAGGUGUAGCGGUGAAAUGCGUAGAGAUCUGGAGGAAUACCGGUGGCGAAGGCGGCCCCCUGGACAAAGACUGACGCUCAGGUGCGAAAGCGUGGGGAGCAAACAGGAUUAGAUACCCCAGUAGUCCCUGUCUCUUAUAC